AGAGUUUGAUCAUGGCUCAGAUUGAACGCUGGCGGCAGGCCUAACACAUGCAAGUCGAACGGUAACAGGAAGCAGCUUGCUGCUUCGCUGACGAGUGGCGGACGGGUGAGUAAUGUCUGGGAAACUGCCUGAUGGAGGGGGAUAACUACUGGAAACGGUGGCUAAUACCGCAUAACGUCGCAAGACCAAAGAGGGGGACCUUCGGGCCUCUUGCCAUCAGAUGUGCCCAGAUGGGAUUAGCUUGUUGGUGAGGUAACGGCUCACCAAGGCGACGAUCCCUAGCUGGUCUGAGAGGAUGACCAGCCACACUGGAACUGAGACACGGUCCAGACUCCUACGGGAGGCAGCAGUGGGGAAUAUUGCACAAUGGGCGCAAGCCUGAUGCAGCCAUGCCGCGUGUAUGAAGAAGGCCUUCGGGUUGUAAAGUACUUUCAGCGGGGAGGAAGGUGUUGUGGUUAAUAACCGCAGCAAUUGACGUUACCCGCAGAAGAAGCACCGGCUAACUCCGUGCCAGCAGCCGCGGUAAUACGGAGGGUGCAAGCGUUAAUCGGAAUUACUGGGCGUAAAGCGCACGCAGGCGGUCUGUCAAGUCGGAUGUGAAAUCCCCGGGCUCAACCUGGGAACUGCAUUCGAAACUGGCAGGCUUGAGUCUUGUAGAGGGGGGUAGAAUUCCAGGUGUAGCGGUGAAAUGCGUAGAGAUCUGGAGGAAUACCGGUGGCGAAGGCGGCCCCCUGGACAAAGACUGACGCUCAGGUGCGAAAGCGUGGGGAGCAAACAGGAUUAGAUACCCUGGUAGUCCACGCCGUAAACGAUGUCUACUUGGAGGUUGUGCCCUUGAGGCGUGGCUUCCGGAGCUAACGCGUUAAGUAGACCGCCUGGGGAGUACGGCCGCAAGGUUAAAACUCAAAUGAAUUGACGGGGGCCCGCACAAGCGGUGGAGCAUGUGGUUUAAUUCGAUGCAACGCGAAGAACCUUACCUGGUCUUGACAUCCACAGAACUUUCCAGAGAUGGAUUGGUGCCUUCGGGAACUGUGAGACAGGUGCUGCAUGGCUGUCGUCAGCUCGUGUUGUGAAAUGUUGGGUUAAGUCCCGCAACGAGCGCAACCCUUAUCCUUUGUUGCCAGCGGUUAGGCCGGGAACUCAAAGGAGACUGCCAGUGAUAAACUGGAGGAAGGUGGGGAUGACGUCAAGUCAUCAUGGCCCUUACGACCAGGGCUACACACGUGCUACAAUGGCGCAUACAAAGAGAAGCGACCUCGCGAGAGCAAGCGGACCUCAUAAAGUGCGUCGUAGUCCGGAUUGGAGUCUGCAACUCGACUCCAUGAAGUCGGAAUCGCUAGUAAUCGUGGAUCAGAAUGCCACGGUGAAUACGUUCCCGGGCCUUGUACACACCGCCCGUCACACCAUGGGAGUGGGUUGCAAAAGAAGUAGGUAGCUUAACCUUCGGGAGGGCGCUUACCACUUUGUGAUUCAUGACUGGGGUGAAGUCGUAACAAGGUAACCGUAGGGGAACCUGCGGUUG
RNAcentral lists this ribosomal RNA (1522 nucleotides) under Salmonella enterica subsp. enterica serovar Thompson. RNAcentral describes it as "bacterial SSU rRNA". It matches the Rfam family "Bacterial small subunit ribosomal RNA". The record is from RNAcentral. Lineage: Bacteria; Pseudomonadati; Pseudomonadota; Gammaproteobacteria; Enterobacterales; Enterobacteriaceae. RNAcentral also lists the same sequence under 8 other names.